UGCUUAUCUUACCUGCCGUUUAGUGGGGGAUAAAAUACCGCAUAUUCUGGUUUCGACCAGGAAAGGACUUCGGUUCGCUAAAUGAUGGGGAUAAGGCGUAUUAGUUUGUUGGUGGGGUAAAGGCCUACCAAGACCAAGAUGCGUAGCCAAACUGAGAGGUUGAAUGGCCACAGGGAAACUGAGACACGGUUCCCACUCCUACGGGAGGCAGCAGUGAGGAAUAUUCCGCAAUGGGCGAAAGCCUGACGGAGCGAUGCUACGUGAAGGAUGAAGGUCUACGGAUUGUAAACUUCUUUACUUGGAUGUACUCCUUAAAACUUGCAUCCGAGCAAAAAGUCACGACUAACUAUGUGCCAGCAGUCGCGGUAAGACAUAGGUGGCGAACGUUAUCCGGAAUUAUUGGGCGUAAAGGAUGCGUAGAUGGUAGAAUAAGUUAUUGGUUGAUACCAAACUCAAUUUGGUGGAGGCUGGUAAUACUGUUCGGCUAGAGGGCAGGAGAAGUUGAUGGAAUUCUGUGUGGAGCGGUGAAAUGCGUUGAUCUACAGAGGAACACCAAAAAAGGCGAAGGCAGUCAACUAUUCUGUUCCUGACAUUGAGGCAUGAAAGCGUGGGGAGCAAACCGGAUUAGAUACCCGGGUAGUCCACGCCCUAAACGAUGAGCAUUAGAUAUUGGGCAUUUUGCUUUGUGUCCCAGCUAACGCUUUAAAUGCUCCGCCUGAGUACUACGGUCGCAAGGCUAAAACUCAAAGGAAUUGACGGGGACCCGCACAAGCGGUGGAGCAUGUGGUUUAAUUCGAUACGACGCGCAGAACCUUACCAAGGUUUGACAUGGAGGGCAAAGUUGAAGAAACUCAACGGAGGUUAUCCCGACACAGGUGGUGCAUGGUCGUCGUCAGUUCGUGCUGUGAAGCGUACGCUUAAGUGCUAGAACGAACGCAACCCUCAUAUUUAGUUGCUAUCAUUUAGUUGAGAACUCUAAAUAGACUGCUAAGAUAACUUAGAGGAAGGAGAGGAUCACGUCUGAUCAUC
RNAcentral lists this ribosomal RNA (1029 nucleotides) under Candidatus Moeniiplasma glomeromycotorum. RNAcentral describes it as "bacterial SSU rRNA". It matches the Rfam family "Bacterial small subunit ribosomal RNA", at positions 114 to 1194 of the family's 1533-position model. Lineage: Bacteria; Bacillati; Mycoplasmatota; Mollicutes; Mycoplasmatales; Mycoplasmataceae. The record is from RNAcentral.